Molecule: ribosomal RNA, 360 nt
Filed under: Triticum aestivum (bread wheat)
Lineage: Eukaryota; Viridiplantae; Streptophyta; Magnoliopsida; Poales; Poaceae
Description: partial small subunit ribosomal RNA
Source: RNAcentral
UUUGCACGAUCUGUAUGGGCCAUCGUCCAAAUAGCUUCGAAUUUAUAUCCCCCACGUAGUGCAUGGAAUAUAUUCGGCAAUUGGUUGAGGGGUAUAGAUAAACAGUUUUCUGCUCACAUUCUUGUGGGGGCGGCUGCCUUAUGUUGGGCACUCUGGCUCACCAGGAAUGACAUUGUUUUUAACCGUAAAUGUGUUUCAUCUCCUAUGCAGGUUAUUCAUAUAUGCUCGCGAUGGCUCCGUACGUGGUUUAUCCUGCAGAAGCCGGAGGACAGAGACCUUUUUAUGAUGGCGUCUACUCGGCUGGAGCGUUCUGCCCGGGAGAUUUUCUACCCCAUGGAUGGCGGUGUGAUCUUCGGAUAG